ACAAGCGGUGAGUAUGUGGUUUAAUUCGAUGCAACGCGAAGAACCUUACCUGGUCUUGACAUCCCGGAGACCCUUAGGAAACUAGGGGGUGCUUCCAUCUGGAAGAAUCUGGAGACAGGUGCUGCAUGGCUGUCGUCAGCUCGUGUCGUGAGAUGUUGGGUUAAGUCCCGCAACGAGCGCAACCCUUGCCUUUAGUUGCCAGCAGUUCGGCUGGGCACUCUAAAGGGACUGCCGGUGUUAAACCGGAGGAAGGUGGGGAUGACGUCAAGUCCUCAUGGCCUUUAUGACCAGGGCUACACACGUACUACAAUGGCCGAUACAAAGGGCAGCGACACUGCGAGGUGAAGCCAAUCCCGUAAAAUCGGUCUCAGUCCGGAUUGGAGUCUGCAACUCGACUCCAUGAAGUUGGAAUCGCUAGUAAUCGUGGAUCAGCAUGCCACGGUGAAUACGUUCCCGGGCCUU
This 462-nucleotide ribosomal RNA is filed under the name uncultured Desulfobulbus sp. RNAcentral describes it as "bacterial SSU rRNA". It matches the Rfam family "Bacterial small subunit ribosomal RNA", at positions 925 to 1382 of the family's 1533-position model. The record is from RNAcentral. Lineage: Bacteria; Pseudomonadati; Thermodesulfobacteriota; Desulfobulbia; Desulfobulbales; Desulfobulbaceae.